Molecule: non-coding RNA, 701 nt
Organism: Prunus mume (Japanese apricot)
Lineage: Eukaryota; Viridiplantae; Streptophyta; Magnoliopsida; Rosales; Rosaceae
Source: RefSeq, a predicted model, not a curated record
CUCACAUAACUUCGAUGGCUUUCAAUUCAGAGUUCAACAUCACUGCCCGAAUGGAUUCGCGGCCUCACCGUUUUAAGACAGUUCGAAAUUGGAUACUAUUCCUUUAUACAGAAAAGCAAAAACAAAGAGGGCAGAUUUUUCGGGUCCCGUGUGAGAAAUGAAGUUCCCUUGAACAGUGUGCAUGAGGAGAAUUGAAGUUCACUUGAACUGUAUUCAUGAGCAUAAAUAAAAUACUGAAACGAACAUGACCUAGUGUUUUAGGCUUCUGAAGAACUAGCGAAAGAAUAAUAGUUACUUCCAUAAAUAUGCAGUGGAGAGAAGAAGAAACAGAUGGAGUGAAGAAAGCCAAUAGCCAUCAUUCCAAUGGACCUUGUAAGAGUACAGGAAAAUUGCAAUGCCGGAAGAGCAUGGUUCGAAGUAUGCUCAAGUCUUGUUGGGCACUUACAGCAGUUGAGAGAGCUUCAGUAUCCCAAGUGUGGUAUCUUGUGCUGCAGUGUCGAGCAAAGUUCCUCCGUUCUGAUUUCGUGUUUUUAAAUUUAAAUUUUGUUUUGUUUUGUUUUUCCUAUUCUGAACCAGAUUGGAACAGACUUAGAGUGCUCUUGUACUUGUAAUCUUCUUAUUCAAUUAGUGAAAAACCUAGCAACCUCGUGGACGUAGCUCAAUUAUGAGUGAACCACGUAAAACUGUGGUGUUGGAUUUGU